GACGAACGCUGGCGGCGUGCUUAACACAUGCAAGUCGAACGGAAAGGCCUCAGCUUGCUGGGGUACUCGAGUGGCGAACGGGUGAGUAACACGUGGGUGAUCUGCCUUGCACUCUGGGAUAAGCUUGGGAAACUGGGUCUAAUACCGGAUAUGAACUGCCUUUAGUGUGGGGGUUGGAAAGUUUUUUCGGUGCAAGGUGAGCUCGCGGCCUAUCAGCGUGUUGGGGGGGUAAUGGCCUACCAAGGCGUCGACGGGUAGCCGGACUGAGAGGGUGUACGGCCACACUGGGACUGAGAUACGGCCCAGACUCCUACGGGAGGCAGCAGGGGGGAAGAUUGCACAAGGGGCGGAAGCCGGAUGCAGCGACGCCGCGUGGGGGAUGACGGCCUUCGGGUUGAAAACUCCUUUCGACAGGGACGAAGCUUUUUGUGACGGUACCUGUAUAAGAAGCACCGGCUAACUACGUG
RNAcentral lists this ribosomal RNA (467 nucleotides) under uncultured bacterium. RNAcentral's name for it is "partial 16S ribosomal RNA". It matches the Rfam family "Bacterial small subunit ribosomal RNA", at positions 28 to 507 of the family's 1533-position model. The record is from RNAcentral.